UUAUUCGGAUUCGCCAUCAUACGUCCAACCGUGCAUUUGAUAUGCAUAUAUAUGCAUCACGAGCCACGGUUGGGCUGUAUGAUGGCGAUACCGAUUGG
Non-coding RNA from Triticum aestivum (bread wheat), 98 nucleotides. NCBI's taxonomy places the organism in Eukaryota, Viridiplantae, Streptophyta, Magnoliopsida, Poales, Poaceae. The record is from Rfam.